This 473-nucleotide ribosomal RNA is filed under the name uncultured bacterium. RNAcentral describes it as "bacterial SSU rRNA". It matches the Rfam family "Bacterial small subunit ribosomal RNA", at positions 43 to 507 of the family's 1533-position model. The record is from RNAcentral.
CGGGCCUAACACAUGCAAGUCGAGCGGUAACAUUUCUAGCUUGCUAGAAGAUGACGAGCGGCGGACGGGUGAGUAACGCGUAGAAAUCUACCUAGUAGUGGGGGAUAGCCCAGAGAAAUUUGGAUUAAUACCGCAUACGCCCUACGGGGGAAAGCGGGGGAUCUUCGGACCUCGUGCUAUUAGAUGAGUCUGCGUCGGAUUAGCUUGUUGGUGAGGUAAUGGCUCACCAAGGCGACGAUCCGUAGCUGGUCUGAGAGGAUGACCAGCCACACUGGAACUGAGACACGGUCCAGACUCCUACGGGAGGCAGCAGUGGGGAAUAUUGCACAAUGGGCGCAAGCCUGAUGCAGCCAUGCCGCGUGUGUGAAGAAGGCCUUAGGGUUGUAAAGCACUUUCAGCAGUGAGGAAAGGGGUGUCGUUAAUAGCGCCAUCCUGUGACGUUAACUGCAGAAGAAGGACCGGCUAACUCCGUG